RNAcentral lists this ribosomal RNA (305 nucleotides) under uncultured bacterium. Its description in RNAcentral is "bacterial SSU rRNA". It matches the Rfam family "Bacterial small subunit ribosomal RNA", at positions 338 to 660 of the family's 1533-position model. The record is from RNAcentral.
CCUACGGGGCGCAGCAGUGGGGGAUAUUGCACAAUGGGGGGAACCCUGAUGCAGCGACGCCGCGUGGGUGAAGAAGCGCCUCGGCGCGUAAAGCCCUGUCAGCAGGGAAGAAAAUGACGGUACCUGAAGAAGAAGCCCCGGCUAACUACGUGCCAGCAGCCGCGGUAAUACGUAGGGGGCAAGCGUUAUCCGGAUUUAUUGGGUUUAAAGGGAGCGUAGAUGGGUUGACAAGUCAGAUGUGAAAUCCUGCGGCUUAACCGCAGAACUGCAUUUGAAACUGUUGAUCUUGAGUACUGGAGAGGCAG